This 199-nucleotide non-coding RNA is filed under the name human gut metagenome. Its description in RNAcentral is "raiA RNA". It matches the Rfam family "raiA RNA". The record is from RNAcentral.
UCGGGUCUGUGGUUGAAAGCCGAUGCCAGUCGCAGGCAAAGCGGUCCACGUAAGCCGGUCAAAGCGCCGGUGAGCAUGGUGCGGUCUAGAGGUAAGCCCGGCCGCGCGGGUUCCCGCGCGAGAGGACGGCGUGAGAGCGCUGAUGCGCAGAGCAAGGUUCCGGCCGGCGAGUGUGGGGGCAAAGACCAGGUCAGCCGAA